This 253-nucleotide ribosomal RNA is filed under the name uncultured bacterium. Its description in RNAcentral is "partial 16S ribosomal RNA". It matches the Rfam family "Bacterial small subunit ribosomal RNA", at positions 524 to 776 of the family's 1533-position model. The record is from RNAcentral.
GACAGAGGGUGCAAACGUUGCUCGGAAUCACUGGGCGUAAAGGGCGUGUAGGCGGGAAGGAUAGUCAGAUGUGAAAUCCCCGGGCUUAACCUGGGAACUGCAUUUGUGACUGCAUGGCUAGAGUGCGGCAGAGGGGGAUGGAAUUCCGCGUGUAGCAGUGAAAUGCGUAGAUAUGCGGAGGAACACCGAUGGCGAAGGCAAUCCCCUGGACCUGUACUGACGCUCAUGCACGAAAGCGUGGGGAGCAAACAGG